RNAcentral lists this ribosomal RNA (484 nucleotides) under uncultured bacterium. Its description in RNAcentral is "partial 16S ribosomal RNA". It matches the Rfam family "Bacterial small subunit ribosomal RNA", at positions 30 to 507 of the family's 1533-position model. The record is from RNAcentral.
AUUGAACGCUGGCGGCAGGCCUAACACAUGCCAGUCGAGCGGAUGAAGGGAGCUUGCUCCUGGAUUCAGCGGCGGACGGGUGAGUAAUGCCUAGGAAUCUGCCUGGUAGUGGGGGAUAACGUCCGGAAACGGGCGCUAAUACCGCAUACGUCCUGAGGGAGAAAGUGGGGGAUCUUCGGACCUCACGCUAUCAGAUGAGCCUAGGUCGGAUUAGCUAGUUGGUGGGGUAAAGGCCUACCAAGGCGACGAUCCGUAACUGGUCUGAGAGGAUGAUCAGUCACACUGAAACUGAGACACGGUCCAGACUCCUACGGGAGGCAGCAGUGGGGAAUAUUGGACAAUGGGCGAAAGCCUGAUCCAGCCAUGCCGCGUGUGUGAAGAAGGUCUUCGGAUUGUAAAGCACUUUAAGUUGGGAGGAAGGGCAGUAAGUUAAUACCUUGCUGUUUUGACGUUACCAACAGAAUAAGCACCGGCUAACUUCGUG